This 274-nucleotide ribosomal RNA is filed under the name Candidatus Phytoplasma citri. RNAcentral describes it as "Candidatus Phytoplasma aurantifolia partial 16S ribosomal RNA". It matches the Rfam family "Bacterial small subunit ribosomal RNA", at positions 762 to 1045 of the family's 1533-position model. The record is from RNAcentral. Lineage: Bacteria; Bacillati; Mycoplasmatota; Mollicutes; Acholeplasmatales; Acholeplasmataceae.
UGGGGAGCAAACAGGAUUAGAUACCCUGGUAGUCCACGCCGUAAACGAUGAGUACUAAGUGUCGGGUUAAACCGGUACUGAAGUUAACACAUUAAGUACUCCGCCUGAGUAGUACGUACGCAAGUAUGAAACUUAAAGGAAUUGACGGGACUCCGCACAAGCGGUGGAUCAUGUUGUUUAAUUCGAAGAUACCCGAAAAACCUUACCAGGUCUUGACAUGUUUUUGCGAAACGGUAGUAAUAUCGUGGAGGUUAUCAGAAACACAGGUGGUGCA